This 253-nucleotide ribosomal RNA is filed under the name uncultured bacterium. Its description in RNAcentral is "partial 16S ribosomal RNA". It matches the Rfam family "Bacterial small subunit ribosomal RNA", at positions 524 to 776 of the family's 1533-position model. The record is from RNAcentral.
UACGUAGGGGGCAAGCGUUAUCCGGAUUUACUGGGUGUAAAGGGAGCGUAGACGGCUUUGCAAGCCAGAUGUGAAAGCCCGGGGCUCAACCUCGGGACUGCAUUUGGAACUGUAUGGCUGGAGUGUCGGAGAGGCAGGCGGAAUUCCUAGUGUAGCGGUGAAAUGCGUAGAUAUUAGGAGGAACACCAGUGGCGAAGGCGGCUUACUGGACGACUACUGACGCUGAGGCUCGAAAGCGUGGGGAGCAAACAGG